UACGGGGGGAGCAAGCGUUGUUCGGAAUGACUGGGCGUAAAGGGCGCGUAGGCGGCCGCUUGCGUCGGAUGUGAAAGCCCGGGGCUCAACCCCGGAACGGCAUCCGAUACGGGGCGGCUCGAGACCGAGAGAGGUGAGUGGAAUACCCAGUGUAGAGGUGAAAUUCGUAGAUAUUGGGUGGAACACCGGUGGCGAAAGCGGCUCACUGGCUCGGUUCUGACGCUGAGGCGCGAAAGCGUGGGGAGCAAACAGG
RNAcentral lists this ribosomal RNA (253 nucleotides) under uncultured bacterium. RNAcentral describes it as "partial 16S ribosomal RNA". It matches the Rfam family "Bacterial small subunit ribosomal RNA", at positions 524 to 776 of the family's 1533-position model. The record is from RNAcentral.